GAUGAAUGCUGGCGGCGUGCCUAACACAUGCAAGUCGAGCGGCAGCGAGGGGUGCUUGCACCCUGUCGGCGAGCGGCGAACGGCUGAGUAACGCGUAGGAAUUUGCCCCAAAGUGAGGAAUAACUGCCCGAAAGGGUAGCUAAUGCCGCAUAUGGUCUUCGGAUUAAAGGAUUUAUCCGCUUUGGGAGAAGCCUGCGUUGGAUUAGGUUGUUGGUAGGGUAAUGGCCUGCCAAGCCGACGAUCCAUAGCUGGUCUGAGAGGAUGAUCAGCCAGACUGGAACUGAGACACGGUCCAGACUCCUACGGGAGGCAGCAGUGAGGAAUCUUCCACAAUGGGCGAAAGCCUGAUGGAGCAACGCCGCGUGAAGGAUGAAGGCCUUCGGGUUGUAAACUUCUUUUAUGAGUGAAGAAUAUGACGGUAACUCAUGAAUAAGCACCGGCUAACUACGUG
RNAcentral lists this ribosomal RNA (451 nucleotides) under uncultured bacterium. Its description in RNAcentral is "partial 16S ribosomal RNA". It matches the Rfam family "Bacterial small subunit ribosomal RNA", at positions 28 to 507 of the family's 1533-position model. The record is from RNAcentral.